RNAcentral lists this ribosomal RNA (253 nucleotides) under uncultured prokaryote. Its description in RNAcentral is "partial 16S ribosomal RNA". It matches the Rfam family "Bacterial small subunit ribosomal RNA", at positions 525 to 777 of the family's 1533-position model. The record is from RNAcentral.
ACGUAGGGGGCGAGCGUUGUCCGGAAUCAUUGGGCGUAAAGCGCGUGUAGGCGGUUUCGUAAGUCUGCUGUGAAAGUCGGAGGCUCAACCUUCGAAUGCCAGUGGAUACUGUGAGACUUGAGUACGGAAGAGGAGAGUGGAAUUCCUGGUGUAGCGGUGAAAUGCGCAGAUAUCAGGAGGAACACCGGUGGCGAAGGCGGGUCUCUGGGCCGAUACUGACGCUGAGGAGCGAAAGCGUGGGGAGCGAACAGGA